Molecule: ribosomal RNA, 495 nt
Filed under: uncultured bacterium
Lineage: Bacteria
Description: partial 16S ribosomal RNA
Rfam family: Bacterial small subunit ribosomal RNA
Source: RNAcentral
AUUGAACGCUGGCGGCAGGCCUAACACAUGCAAGUCGAGCGCGAAAGUCUUCGGAUGAGUAAAGCGGCGAACGGGUGAGUAACGCGUGGGAAUCUGCCCAGUAGUGGGGGACAACAGCCGGAAACGGCUGCUAAUACCGCAUACGCCCUACGGGGGAAAGGGGGGGAUCUUCGGACCUCUCGCUAUUGGAUGAGCCCGCGUCGGGUUAGCUAGUCGGUGAGGUAAAGGCUCACCAAGGCGACGAUCCGUAACUGGUCUGAGAGGAUGAUCAGUCACACUGGAACUGAGACACGGUCCAGACUCCUACGGGAGGCAGCAGUGGGGAAUAUUGGACAAUGGGGGCAACCCUGAUCCAGCCACGCCGCGUGUGUGAAGAAGGCCCUAGGGUUGUAAAGCACUUUCAGUGGGGAGAAAAGUGAUUCACCUAAUACGUGAGUCAAUUGAUGUUACCCACAGAAGAAGCACCGGCUAACUCCGUGCCAGCCGCCGCCGUAA